RNAcentral lists this ribosomal RNA (1215 nucleotides) under metagenome. RNAcentral describes it as "bacterial SSU rRNA". It matches the Rfam family "Bacterial small subunit ribosomal RNA", at positions 237 to 1456 of the family's 1533-position model. The record is from RNAcentral.
CCUAUCAGGUAGUCGGCGGGGUAACGGCCCACCGAGCCUACGACGGGUAGCCGGCCUGAGAGGGCGACCGGCCACAUUGGGACUGAGAUACGGCCCAGACUCCUACGGGAGGCAGCAGUGGGGAAUAUUGCACAAUGGGCGCAAGCCUGAUGCAGCGACGCCGCGUGCGGGAUGACGGCCUUCGGGUUGUAAACCGCUUUUGAUCGGGAGCAAGCCUUCGGGUGAGUGUACCUUUCGAAUAAGCACCGGCUAACUACGUGCCAGCAGCCGCGGUAAUACGUAGGGUGCAAGCGUUAUCCGGAAUUAUUGGGCGUAAAGGGCUCGUAGGCGGUUCGUCGCGUCCGGUGUGAAAGUCCAUCGCUUAACGGUGGAUCUGCGCCGGGUACGGGCGGGCUGGAGUUCGGUAGGGGAGACUGGAAUUCCCGGUGUAACGGUGGAAUGUGUAGAUAUCGGGAAGAACACCAAUGGCGAAGGCAGGUCUCUGGGCCGUUACUGACGCUGAGGAGCGAAAGCGUGGGGAGCGAACAGGAUUAGAUACCCUGGUAGUCCACGCCGUAAACGGUGGAUGCUGGAUGUGGGGCCCGUUCCACGGGUUCCGUGUCGGAGCUAACGCGUUAAGCAUCCCGCCUGGGGAGUACGGCCGCAAGGCUAAAACUCGAAGAAAUUGACGGGGGGCCCGCACAAGCGGCGGAGCAUGCGGAUUAAUUCGAUGCAACGCGAAGAACCUUACCUGGGCUUGACAUGUUCCCGACAGCCGUAGAGAUGCGGCCUCCCUUCGGGGCGGGUUCACAGGUGGUGCAUGGUCGUCGUCAGCUCGUGUCGUGAGAUGUUGGGUUAAGUCCCGCAACGAGCGCAACCCUCGCCCUGUGUUGCCAGCACGUCAUGGUGGGAACUCACGGGGGACCGCCGGGGUCAACUCGGAGGAAGGUGGGGAUGACGUCAGAUCAUCAUGCCCCUUACGUCCAGGGCUUCACGCAUGCUACAAUGGCCGGUACAACGGGAUGCGACAUGGCGACAUGGAGCGGAUCCCUGAAAACCGGUCUCAGUUCGGAUUGGAGUCUGCAACCCGACUCCAUGAAGGCGGAGUCGCUAGUAAUCGCGGAUCAGCAACGCCGCGGUGAAUGCGUUCCCGGGCCUUGUACACACCGCCCGUCAAGUCAUGAAAGUGGGUAGCACCCGAAGCCGGUGGCCUAACCCCUUGUGGGAUGGAGCCGU